RNAcentral lists this ribosomal RNA (253 nucleotides) under uncultured bacterium. RNAcentral describes it as "partial 16S ribosomal RNA". It matches the Rfam family "Bacterial small subunit ribosomal RNA", at positions 524 to 776 of the family's 1533-position model. The record is from RNAcentral.
UACGUAGGUGGCAAGCGUUAUCCGGAAUUAUUGGGCGUAAAGAGCGCGCAGGUGGUUAAUUAAGUCUGAUGUGAAAGCCCACGGCUUAACCGUGGAGGGUCAUUGGAAACUGGUUGACUUGAGUGCAGAAGAGGGAAGUGGAAUUCCAUGUGUAGCGGUGAAAUGCGUAGAGAUAUGGAGGAACACCAGUGGCGAAGGCGGCUUCCUGGUCUGCAACUGACACUGAGGCGCGAAAGCGUGGGUAUCGAACAGG